Molecule: microRNA precursor, 205 nt
Organism: Oryza sativa Japonica Group (Japanese rice)
Lineage: Eukaryota; Viridiplantae; Streptophyta; Magnoliopsida; Poales; Poaceae
Rfam family: MIR812 microRNA precursor family
Source: Rfam
AAAUAGACAAACCCUAUGUUUCUGUGUCUAACUUUGACUGUCCGUCUUAUAUGAAAUUUUUUUAUAAUUCAUAUUUUCAUUGUUGUUAGAUGAUAAAACAUGAUUAAUAUUUUAUGCAUGAUUUGUCUUUUUAAUUUUUUUCAUAAUUUUUUCAAAUAAGAUGGACGGUCAAACAUUGGGCACGGAAACCAGGGUGUCAUUUUUC